This 370-nucleotide long non-coding RNA is filed under the name Olea europaea (common olive). Its description in RNAcentral is "long non-coding RNA (OEUR_LNC011208)". Lineage: Eukaryota; Viridiplantae; Streptophyta; Magnoliopsida; Lamiales; Oleaceae. The record is from RNAcentral.
AUUAGAUGAUAGAACGAAAUAAAAUUACAUCUACUAGAUUAAUCUAUCCGAUUUGAUCAGAAGUUUGCUUGCAAAAAUUGAAUUUUGGGCAACGAAAUGUAUUUUGUUACUUACUCCUAAGAUGUUUCGAUUCAAUUAUUUUGUACAUAAAAGUAAUGAAUAAUACCUUUAAACGAUAUAUUUAUCACCGUUAUCAUGUAUUUAAAUGUAGUGUCUCGAAUAUUUAUUAUUUCGGUACGUACUAAACCAUAAUGAUUAUUUUAUUUGUUUAACCCAUGAAGUCAUAUCCCAUCCAGUCAUAAAUUCUACUAGAUCAGUCUAUAAGCCAAUAUACUGGAAUAAACAUUUCCUAUAAUAUCAUAUUCAGUGA